CAAUAGCGUAUAUUAAAGUUGUUGCGGUAAAAGCUCGUAGUUGGAUUUCUGUUGAGGACGACCGGUCCACACCACGUGUGCGCAUCUGGCUCGGUCUCGGCAUCCUCUCGAUAGACGUUUCUGCGCUUGAUUGCGUGGUGCGGAUUUCGGGACUUUUACUUUGAGGAAAUUAGAGUGUUCACGGCAGGCUAUCGCCAGAAUACGUUAGCAUGGAAUAAUACUAUAGGAUCUCGGUUCUAUUUUGUUGGUUUCUAGAAGCGAGGUAAUGAUUAAUAGGGACAGUUGGGGGCAUUAGUAUUGCUUUGUCAGAGGUGAAAUUCAUUGAUUAUCGCAAGACUAACUUAUGCGAAAGCAUUUGCCAAGGAUGUUUUCAUUAAUCAAGAACGAAAGUUAGGGGAUCAAAGACGAUUAGAUACCGU
This 419-nucleotide ribosomal RNA is filed under the name uncultured eukaryote. RNAcentral describes it as "bacterial SSU rRNA". It matches the Rfam family "Eukaryotic small subunit ribosomal RNA", at positions 592 to 1018 of the family's 1831-position model. The record is from RNAcentral.